GGGUUGUGAGGUUAAGCGACUAAGCGUACACGGUGGAUGCCCUGGCAGUCAGAGGCGAUGAAGGACGUGCUAAUCUGCGAAAAGCGCCGGCGAGGUGAUAUGAACCUUUGACCCGGCGAUGUCCGAAUGGGGAAACCCAGUGCAAUUCGUUGCACUAUCGUUAACUGAAUACAUAGGUUAACGAAGCGAACCGGGGGAACUGAAACAUCUAAGUACCCCGAGGAAAAGAAAUCAACCGAGAUUCCCCCAGUAGCGGCGAGCGAACGGGGAGCAGCCCAGAGUCUGAAUCAGCUUGUGUGUUAGUGGAAGCGUCUGGAAAGUCGCACGGUACAGGGUGACAGUCCCGUACACGAAAACACACAGGCUGUGAACUCGAAGAGUAGGGCGGGACACGUGGUAUCCUGUCUGAAUAUGGGGGGACCAUCCUCCAAGGCUAAAUACUCCUGACUGACCGAUAGUGAACCAGUACCGUGAGGGAAAGGCGAAAAGAACCCCGGCGAGGGGAGUGAAAAAGAACCUGAAACCGUGUACGUACAAGCAGUGGGAGCACCUUCGUGGUGUGACUGCGUACCUUUUGUAUAAUGGGUCAGCGACUUAUAUUCUGUAGCAAGGUUAACCGUAUAGGGGAGCCGAAGGGAAACCGAGUCUUAACUGGGCGUUAAGUUGCAGGGUAUAGACCCGAAACCCGGUGAUCUAGCCAUGGGCAGGUUGAAGGUUGGGUAACACUAACUGGAGGACCGAACCGACUAAUGUUGAAAAAUUAGCGGAUGACUUGUGGCUGGGGGUGAAAGGCCAAUCAAACCGGGAGAUAGCUGGUUCUCCCCGAAAGCUAUUUAGGUAGCGCCUCGUGAACUCAUCUUCGGGGGUAGAGCACUGUUUCGGCUAGGGGGCCAUCCCGGCUUACCAACCCGAUGCAAACUACGAAUACCGAAGAAUGUUAUCACGGGAGACACACGGCGGGUGCUAACGUCCGUCGUGAAGAGGGAAACAACCCAGACCGCCAGCUAAGGUCCCAAAGUCAUGGUUAAGUGGGAAACGAUGUGGGAAGGCACAGACAGCCAGGAUGUUGGCUUAGAAGCAGCCAUCAUUUAAAGAAAGCGUAAUAGCUCACUGGUCGAGUCGGCCUGCGCGGAAGAUGUAACGGGGCUAAACCAUGCACCGAAGCUGCGGCAGCGACACUUAGGUGUUGUUGGGUAGGGGAGCGUUCUGUAAGCCGUUGAAGGUGGCCUGUGAGGGUUGCUGGAGGUAUCAGAAGUGCGAAUGCUGACAUAAGUAACGAUAAAGCGGGUGAAAAGCCCGCUCGCCGGAAGACCAAGGGUUCCUGUCCAACGUUAAUCGGGGCAGGGUGAGUCGACCCCUAAGGCGAGGCCGAAAGGCGUAGUCGAUGGGAAACAGGUUAAUAUUCCUGUACUUGGUGUUACUGCGAAGGGGGGACGGAGAAGGCUAUGUUAGCCGGGCGACGGUUGUCCCGGUUUAAGCAUGUAGGCGGAACGAUUAGGUAAAUCCGGUCGUUUUUUAACGCUGAGGUGUGAUGACGAGGCACUACGGUGCUGAAGUAACAAAUGCCCUGCUUCCAGGAAAAGCCUCUAAGCAUCAGGUAACAUCAAAUCGUACCCCAAACCGACACAGGUGGUCAGGUAGAGAAUACCAAGGCGCUUGAGAGAACUCGGGUGAAGGAACUAGGCAAAAUGGUGCCGUAACUUCGGGAGAAGGCACGCUGAUAUGUAGGUGAAGCCCCUGCGGGUGGAGCUGAAAUCAGUCGAAGAUACCAGCUGGCUGCAACUGUUUAUUAAAAACACAGCACUGUGCAAACACGAAAGUGGACGUAUACGGUGUGACGCCUGCCCGGUGCCGGAAGGUUAAUUGAUGGGGUUAGCGGCAACGCGAAGCUCUUGAUCGAAGCCCCGGUAAACGGCGGCCGUAACUAUAACGGUCCUAAGGUAGCGAAAUUCCUUGUCGGGUAAGUUCCGACCUGCACGAAUGGCGUAAUGAUGGCCAGGCUGUCUCCACCCGAGACUCAGUGAAAUUGAACUCGCUGUGAAGAUGCAGUGUACCCGCGGCAAGACGGAAAGACCCCGUGAACCUUUACUAUAGCUUGACACUGAACACUGGUCCUUGAUGUGUAGGAUAGGUGGGAGGCUUUGAAGCGUGGACGCCAGUCUGCGUGGAGCCAUCCUUGAAAUACCACCCUUUAAUGGCUGGUGUUCUAACGUAGACCCGUAAUCCGGGUUGCGGACAGUGUCUGGUGGGUAGUUUGACUGGGGCGGUCUCCUCCCAAAGAGUAACGGAGGAGCACGAAGGUUAGCUAAUCCUGGUCGGACAUCAGGAGGUUAGUGCAAUGGCAUAAGCUAGCUUGACUGCGAGAGUGACGGCUCGAGCAGGUGCGAAAGCAGGUCAUAGUGAUCCGGUGGUUCUGAAUGGAAGGGCCAUCGCUCAACGGAUAAAAGGUACUCCGGGGAUAACAGGCUGAUACCGCCCAAGAGUUCAUAUCGACGGCGGUGUUUGGCACCUCGAUGUCGGCUCAUCACAUCCUGGGGCUGAAGUAGGUCCCAAGGGUAUGGCUGUUCGCCAUUUAAAGUGGUACGCGAGCUGGGUUUAGAACGUCGUGAGACAGUUCGGUCCCUAUCUGCCGUGGGCGCUGGAGAAUUGAGGGGAGCUGCUCCUAGUACGAGAGGACCGGAGUGGACGCAUCACUGGUGUUCGGGUUGUCAUGCCAAUGGCACUGCCCGGUAGCUAAAUGCGGAAAAGAUAAGUGCUGAAAGCAUCUAAGCACGAAACUUGCCCCGAGAUGAGUUCUCCCUGACUCUUUAAGAGUCCUGAAGGAACGUUGAAGACGACGACGUUGAUAGGUCGGGUGUGUAAGCGCAGCGAUGCGUUGAGCUAACCGAUACUAAUGAACCGUGAGGCUUAACCUUACAACGCCGAAGGUGUUU
This 2933-nucleotide ribosomal RNA is filed under the name Enterobacter hormaechei. Its description in RNAcentral is "bacterial LSU rRNA". It matches the Rfam family "Bacterial large subunit ribosomal RNA". Lineage: Bacteria; Pseudomonadati; Pseudomonadota; Gammaproteobacteria; Enterobacterales; Enterobacteriaceae. The record is from RNAcentral.